GAUCCUGGCUCAGGAUGAACGCUAGCUACAGGCUUAACACAUGCAAGUCGAGGGGCAGCAUGUCGGUUGCUUGCAACCGAUGAUGGCGACCGGCGCACGGGUGAGUAACGCGUAUCCAACCUACCCUUGUCCAUCGGAUAACCCGUCGAAAGGCGGCCUAACACGAUAUGCGGUUCACAGCAGGCAUCUAACGUGAACGAAAUGUGAAGGAGAAGGACGGGGAUGCGUCUGAUUAG
RNAcentral lists this ribosomal RNA (236 nucleotides) under uncultured bacterium. RNAcentral's name for it is "partial 16S ribosomal RNA". It matches the Rfam family "Bacterial small subunit ribosomal RNA", at positions 15 to 244 of the family's 1533-position model. The record is from RNAcentral.